Molecule: ribosomal RNA, 492 nt
Filed under: uncultured bacterium
Lineage: Bacteria
Description: partial 16S ribosomal RNA
Rfam family: Bacterial small subunit ribosomal RNA
Source: RNAcentral
AGUGAACGCUGGCGGUAGGCCUAACACAUGCAAGUCGAACGGCAGCACAGUAAGAGCUUGCUCUUACGGGUGGCGAGUGACGGACGGGUGAGGAAUGCAUCGGAUUCUACUUUUUCGUGGGGGAUAACGUAGGAAAACUUACGCUAAUGACGCAUACGACCUACGGGUGAAAGCAGGGGUUCUUCGGACCUUUCGCGAUUGUAUGAGCCGGUGUCGGAUUAGAUAGUUGGCGGGGUAAAGGCCUACCAAGGCGACGAUACGUAGCGGGUCUGACAGGAUGAUCGGCCACACUGGAACUGAGACACGGUCCAGACUCCUACGGGAGGCAGCAGUGGGGAAUAUUGGACAAUGGGCGCAAGCCUGAUCCAGCCAUACCGCGUGGGUGAAGAAGGCCUUCGGGUUGUAAAGCCCUUUUGUUGGGAAAGAAAAGCUGCAGGUUUAUCCCCGGCUGUUCUGACGGUACCCAAAGAAUAAGCACCGGCUAACUUCGUG